Molecule: unclassified non-coding RNA, 326 nt
Filed under: soil metagenome
Description: partial contains 5.8S ribosomal RNA, internal transcribed spacer 2, and large subunit ribosomal RNA
Rfam family: 5.8S ribosomal RNA (bases 1-120)
Source: RNAcentral
GAUGAAGAACGUAGCGAAAUGCGAUAAGUAAUGUGAAUUGCAGAAUUCAGUGAAUCAUCGAAUCUUUGAACGCACAUUGCGCCCCUUGGUAUUCCGGGGGGCAUGCCUGUUCGAGCGUCAUUUCAACCCUCAAGCUCAGCUUGGUAUUGAGUCCAUGUCAGUAAUGGCAGGCUCUAAAAUCAGUGGCGGCGCCGCUGGGUCCUGAACGUAGUAAUAUCUCUCGUUACAGGUUCUCGGUGUGCUUCUGCCAAAACCCAAAUUUUCUAUGGUUGACCUCGGAUCAGGUAGGGAUACCCGCUGAACUUAAGCAUAUCAUAAGCGGAGGA